Molecule: ribosomal RNA, 432 nt
Filed under: uncultured bacterium
Lineage: Bacteria
Description: partial 16S ribosomal RNA
Rfam family: Bacterial small subunit ribosomal RNA
Source: RNAcentral
ACGAACGCUGGCGGCAUGCCUAACACAUGCAAGUCGAACGAGACCUUCGGGUCUAGUGGCGCACGGGUGCGUAACGCGUGGGAACCUGCCCUUAGGUUCGGAAUAACUCCCCGAAAGGGGUGCUAAUACCGGAUAAUGUCUUCGGACCAAAGAUUUAUCGCCUUUGGAUGGGCCCGCGUUGGAUUAGCUAGUUGGUAGGGUAAAAGCCUACCAAGGCGACGAUCCAUAGCUGGUCUGAGAGGAUGAUCAGCCACACUGGGACUGAGACACGGCCCAGACUCCUACGGGAAGCAGCAGUGGGGAAUAUUGGACAAUGGGCGAAAGCCUGAUCCAGCGAUGCCGCGUGAGUGAUGAAGGCCUUAGGGUUGUAAAGCUCUUUUACCCGGGAUGAUAAUGACAGUACCGGGAGAAUAAGCUCCGGCUAACUCCGUG